AGUGAACGCUGGCGGUAGGCCUAUCACAUGCAAGUCGAACGGCAGCACAGUAAGAGCUUGCUCUUACGGGUGGCGAGUGGCGGACGGGUGAGGAAUACAUCGGAAUCUACUUUUUCGUGGGGGAUAACGUAGGGAAACUUACGCUAAUACCGCAUACGACCUACGGGUGAAAGCAGGGGAUCUUCGGACCUUGCGCGAUUGAAUGAGCCGAUGUCGGAUUAGCUAGUUGGCGGGGUAAAGGCCCACCAAGGCGACGAUCCGUAGCUGGUCUGAGAGGGUGAUCAGCCACACUGGAACUGAGACACGGUCCAGACUCCUACGGGAGGCAGCAGUGGGGAAUAUUGGACAAUGGGCGCAAGCCUGAUCCAGCCAUACCGCGUGGGUGAAGAAGGCCUUCGGGUUGUAAAGCCCUUUUGUUGGGAAAGAAAAGCAGCAGGUUAAUACCCCGCUGUUCUGACGGUACCCAAAGAAUAAGCACCGGCUAACUUCGUG
RNAcentral lists this ribosomal RNA (492 nucleotides) under uncultured bacterium. RNAcentral's name for it is "partial 16S ribosomal RNA". It matches the Rfam family "Bacterial small subunit ribosomal RNA", at positions 29 to 507 of the family's 1533-position model. The record is from RNAcentral.